CAGUAGCCGCGGGAAUACGUAGGUGGCAAGCGUUGUCCGGAAUUAUUGGGCGUAAAGGGCUCGCAGGCGGUUUCUUAAGUCUGAUGUGAAAGCCCCCGGCUCAACCGGGGAGGGUAAUUGGAAACUGGGAAACUUGAGUGCAGAAGAGGAGAGUGGAAUUCCACGUGUAGCGGUGAAAUGCGUAGAGAUGUGGAGGAACACCAGUGGCGAAGGCGACUCUCUGGUCUGUAACUGACGCUGAGGAGCGAAAGCGUGGGGAGCGAACAGGAUUAGAUACCCGAGUAGUCCCUGUCUCUUAUAC
This 301-nucleotide ribosomal RNA is filed under the name uncultured bacterium. RNAcentral's name for it is "partial 16S ribosomal RNA". It matches the Rfam family "Bacterial small subunit ribosomal RNA", at positions 509 to 807 of the family's 1533-position model. The record is from RNAcentral.